RNAcentral lists this ribosomal RNA (305 nucleotides) under uncultured bacterium. RNAcentral describes it as "bacterial SSU rRNA". It matches the Rfam family "Bacterial small subunit ribosomal RNA", at positions 333 to 632 of the family's 1533-position model. The record is from RNAcentral.
UUAUCCCUAGGGAGGCAGCAGUAGGGAAUUUUCGUCAAUGGGCGCAAGCCUGAACGAGCAAUGCCGCGUGAACGAGGAAGGUCUUCGGAUCGUAAAGUUCUGUUGAAGGGGAAAAAGAGCGGAGAGAGGAAAUGGUCUCCGAUUGAUAUUACCCUUCGAGGAAGUCACGGCUAACUACGUGCCAGCAGCCGCGGCAAUACGUAGGUGGCGAGCGUUAUCCGGAAUGAUUGGGCGUAAAGGGUGCGUAGGCGGCCUGCUAAGUCUGGAGUGAAAGGUCCCGGCUCAACCGGUACAGUCUCUGGAAA